GUCAAACUAUUGUGGGUGAUAACAAAGUUUCAGCUUCACAGAAUCUCUCAGCUACUCAAGGGUUUGACAACAAGUUAUUGUGCAAAUAUGUUACAGAGGAAGCAGUGGAUAAUACAGCAUGGUUGGAUUACCUUGAGCCAGAUUCAGUGUUAGGUGACCAUGAAUUAGCUGCACAGAGCAAUGGUACUUUAGUGACCAAGGAAAUUAACAAAGUUUCACCUUCACAGAUUUUCUCAGAUACUCAAGGGUUUGACAGCAAGUUAUUGUGUGAAAAUGUUACGGAGGAAGCAGUGGAUAAUACAGCAUGGUUGGAUUACCUUGAGCCAGAUGCAAUGUCAGGUGACCAUCAAUUAGCUGGACAAAGCAAUGGUACUUCAGUUGAUACUACAGCAUUAGAAUCAAUAGGUCAAACUAUUGUGGGUGAUAACAAAGUUUCAGCUUCACAGAAUCUCUCAGCUACUCAAGGGUUUGACAACAAGUUAUUGUGCAAAUAUGUUACAGAGGAAGCAGUGGAUAAUACAGCAUGGUUGGAUUACCUUGAGCCAGAUUCAGUGUUAGGUGACCAUGAAUUAGCUGCACAAAGCAAUGGUACUUCAGUGACCAAGGAAAUUAACGAUGAGGUUGCUUUGGAGAAUGCUGUCUUAUUGCAGAACGCCUUGGAAUUUAGUAGGCAGGAU
Molecule: long non-coding RNA, 677 nt
Filed under: Panax ginseng (ginseng)
Lineage: Eukaryota; Viridiplantae; Streptophyta; Magnoliopsida; Apiales; Araliaceae
Description: long non-coding RNA (PGIN_LNC002190)
Source: RNAcentral